RNAcentral lists this transfer RNA (74 nucleotides) under Thermoplasmata archaeon. RNAcentral describes it as "tRNA-Met". It matches the Rfam family "tRNA". Rfam says of the family: Transfer RNA (tRNA) molecules are approximately 80 nucleotides in length. The record is from RNAcentral. Lineage: Archaea; Methanobacteriati; Thermoplasmatota; Thermoplasmata.
GUCGGGGUGGCUCAGCAGGUUAGAGCGUCGGACUCAUAAUCCGAAGGUCGUGGGUUCAAUUCCCACCCCCGACA